AUUAAAGAACAUAGACCAAAUAAUUAGGAACGAUAAAUAUUAAAAAGUAACUGAUUGUUUACCAUAUUUUCCCCCACAUUCACGUUAUUUCGACCAUUCAAUGUAACGGUUCUAAUAUGAGAUUGCAUUUACUAAUUAUGAAAUGGGCUUAGAGCGUCCCCUCACACCUGUGGGUCACAGUAUAAUCUUUGGUGUUUUUGAGAUGGGAUCUUAUGAAUUUGCAGAGAUACUGGUAUUGGAAUGACCAAAGAAGUGCUCAUUGACUGUCUUGGAACUAUUGCUCAGAAUGGUACUUCAAAGUUCUUGCUGCUUUGAAGCUUACAUUUCCAGCCUUAAAAUUUGCUAGGAAAAUAGGGAUCUUGGAGCAGACAAUGGUCUGAUUGGUCAAUUUGGUGUGGGGUUCUAUUCUGCCUUUCUUGUUGCUGAGAAGGUAACUUUUAUAAUUAAACUUAAGUCUUGUUGCAAUUUUGAAUUCCUUUUGAAGAUUUUAAUGUGAAUGCUUUUCCUGGGUGGCCACUGAUUAUGCUUUUCCUGGGUGGCCACGAAAUUGAGAGAGUAAUCCUCGGAGUGUCAGACACUUAGACUAUCAUCCACCGGCAAGCCAGUCGCUCACCAACAUCAGGCCGCCUAAACCGCUACCGGUAAUUUUUUUUUUUCUAAAUCCGGUACUCUUACAGAAUUAGUCGGAGAUAGCCUGCUUUGAAGGACCCACGGGGCUGUAACUAAGAUCAAAAGAGAGCAAUCCAAAAAUCCUAACGCAAUCUCUGAACACUGAGAGUGAAAGUCAGUAGGUAAAGAGAGAUCAAGCGAAGCAAGUCUGUAAGGCAGAGAGCCACCACCCACUGUCAGGCAUUUGUUCCUCCACCGUCAGACUACUGUUGUGAGAGAAACAAUCAUAGAAAAUCAAAUUCUACAAGUUUUGUAGGAAAAUAUUGUGGAUAUGGAUGGGUUUCGUAGUGGAGAUAGUAUUGAAGAGCCUCCCAACCCUCAAAAUCUGACAACAAUCCUACAGGUGGUUGCUGAGGAGUUUUGUAUGCAGAGAACUGAUCGUGUGUGAAGGUAGAAGAAGUGAUAGUGAUACCCAAAAUUAGCCAUGAAAAGGAUUAUACGAGUCAAAGAUUCAAUAGUUUUGCAGAGGUUACCCCAAACCAAUGCAAUUCAAUUAGGAGCAUCGUGAGGUAAUUCUUGAUAAGUUUAUAUGGUGUACACAAUGCCUCAAUCCAUGUAAAACCUAAUGAUGUGGAGGUUGUUAAUGUUUGUUAGCUUACAACUGAGUGGCACAAGACUUUCCACUAAUGUGAUUUAGUCGGUUAUCAUUGUUAUGAUAUCUAUACCUCUAAUGUUGUAGUGUAUGAUAUUUACAUACAAGAGUUAUUUGAUAAUUGAUAUUGGAUAUGAGUUG
Molecule: long non-coding RNA, 1402 nt
Organism: Quercus lobata
Lineage: Eukaryota; Viridiplantae; Streptophyta; Magnoliopsida; Fagales; Fagaceae
Exons: 5
Source: RefSeq, a predicted model, not a curated record